AUUGAACGCUGGCGGCAUGCCUUACACAUGCAAGUCGAACGGCAGCACGGGUGCUUGCCCCUGGUGGCGAGUGGCGAACGGGUGAGUAAUACAUCGGAACAUGUCCUGUAGUGGGGGAUAGCCCGGCGAAAGCCGGAUUAAUACCGCAUACGAUCUACGGAUGAAAGCGGGGGACCUUCGGGCCUCGCGCUAUAGGGUUGGCCGAUGGCUGAUUAGCUAGUUGGUGGGGUAAAGGCCUACCAAGGCGACGAUCAGUAGCUGGUCUGAGAGGACGACCAGCCACACUGGGACUGAGACACGGCCCAGACUCCUACGGGAGGCAGCAGUGGGGAAUUUUGGACAAUGGGCGAAAGCCUGAUCCAGCAAUGCCGCGUGUGUGAAGAAGGCCUUCGGGUUGUAAAGCACUUUUGUCCGGAAAGAAAUCCUUGGCCCUAAUACGGUCGGGGGGAUGACGGUACCGGAAGAAUAAGCACCGGCUAACUACGU
Molecule: ribosomal RNA, 486 nt
Filed under: uncultured bacterium
Lineage: Bacteria
Description: partial 16S ribosomal RNA
Rfam family: Bacterial small subunit ribosomal RNA
Source: RNAcentral